UAUAGUUAGUGUUAUCCCGAUAAUAUAAUACUGAAGAUUAUAAGACCUUAAGUCAUUGUGUAUCAAUAAUUAUUAAUAUAGUAAUUUUGUUUACUCUUUAGUGUUUUGUGCUAUCUCCACCAUAGUCUCCUACAGAAAAUAUUAAUGAAAGAUCACCGUCAAAACGUACACCAGUAAAGUCACUUGUUCAACAAAAACUCCAGUAAAGAAGCAAGAAUUAUUCUAGAAAGCAAUCUUCAUUCAAGCUGCCAACAGAGAAAAUGUUUAAUAUCAAACAGUCCAACAAACCAACAGCAGUUCCAAUUAUUAAUUUUGUCAAUCACUUUAAUGCUACAGAAAAACGGUUAGCAUCUCCCGUAACUCUGCCUAAGAGCAGAGAAAUGCUUUAUGAAUUAAGUUCUUAUGCACAACUUGCUCAAUGUGUUGAAUUUUUAAGGCCACAAUUAAGAACAAGUUGUUUGAUAGUUUGAUGACUGAUGAGAGUAUAAAAUGUGCUUUGAAAAUAAUAACUAUUUGUGGAACUAUGAACUUGGAUAAUAACUUCUCAGACUAAAUUUCCCUCUGCAGUCUCUUCGAGUAUUAAGUUGAAUACAUGAAAUUAUUAUACUACAAAUAUGAUAACACAUAAAAACUGUUAUCCACAAUUACUACCUCAUUCAAAUUCAGCAAAAUAUUGUAGUGAACGAGCAUAGCUGGAUUAAUUCUACGACUUUAAGAUAACCUUACUAACACCAAUGGAUUGAUACAACAACAACAAGCUUACUACUCAAAAUUAUUAAAAUAGUUUUCAUAAAUAUACUUGAGUUUUAGACUCGCAAGAUACAUUUGAUAACAUGAGAUCGAUGUUUUUUAACAAAAGACAAGCUCUGCUCAGAAUAACUACUUGAUACAGUCGAGAGAUAUGCGUACGACAAGCCUGACCGAGAUAUAAUCAAAUACAUGGGCGUCAAAGGAAAGAACGACAAUCGGAUGUAUUAUCGAACUGUAUGAACGCAACUUUAAUUGAACUCGAGUGCCAGCAAAGAGUUUGCUUAAAACUAUUGUCAAUUCAAUUUGACGCAUCGUCAUACCGACUUUUUUUUAUAACUACAUGUAAAAUGAAUUUCUUUCUCUUAAUUUCUUGAUAUAUUUUUAUGAAAAAUUAUGUUUGUUCAUGAAUCUAAUAUCAGAGUAAUAUUAUUAUUAUGUAUACUGUACACAAGUUAAAAACUGCAUAAUUACUUUAUAAUUGAAAAAAAACCCACCUAAUUAAUAAUUAGUAAAUAAAACAUUUAA
This is a long non-coding RNA of Adelges cooleyi (spruce gall adelgid), 1275 nucleotides long. RefSeq lists it as uncharacterized. Lineage: Eukaryota; Metazoa; Arthropoda; Insecta; Hemiptera; Adelgidae. The record is from RefSeq and is a predicted model, not a curated record. The transcript is spliced from 4 exons.